AGUCGAACGAAUCCCGGGGGGCAACUCCCGGGGGAAGUGGCGAAAGGGGCAGUAAGGCAUGGGUAACCUGCCCCGGGGACCGGGAUAGCCAUCCUAACGGGUGGGUAAUACCGGGCGACGUGCGUGGGGGGCCUCCCUCGUGCACCAAAGGACCUCCGCCCCGGGAGGGGCUCAUGUGGUAUUAGCUUGUUGGUGAGGUAACGGCUCACCAAGGCCAAGAUGCCUAGCAGGUGUGAGAGCACGACCUGCGCCACUGGCACUGGGACACUGGCCAGACUCCUACGGGAGGCUGCAGUCGAGGAUCUUCGGCAAUGGGCGCAAGCCUGACCGAGCGACGCCGCGUGCGCGAUGAAGGCCUUCGGGUUGUAAAGCGCUGUCGGGGGGGAGGAAAGCCUCGCAAGAGGUCUGACCUAUCCCCGGAGGAAGCACGGGCUAAGUUCGUGCCAGCAGCCGCGGUAAGACGAACCGUGCGAACGUUGUUCGGAAUCACUGGGCUUAAAGGGCGCGUAGGCGGGCUGCCAAGUCAGAGGUGAAAUCUUUCGGCUCAACCGGAAAAGGGCCCCUGAUACUGGCGGUCUGGAGUGGGGUAGGGGCACGUGGAACUUCCGGUGGAGCGGUGAAAUGCGUAGAUAUCGGAAGGAACGCCGGUGGCGAAAGCGGCGUGCUGGACCCUUUCUGACGCUGAGGCGCGAAAGCCAGGGGAGCGAACGGGAUUAGAUACCCCGGUAGUCCUGGCCCUAAACGAUGGGUACUAGGUAGUGGACUUGACAUGGGUUCACUGCCGAAGCCAAAGUGUUAA
Molecule: ribosomal RNA, 799 nt
Filed under: uncultured Planctomycetota bacterium
Lineage: Bacteria; Pseudomonadati; Planctomycetota
Description: bacterial SSU rRNA
Rfam family: Bacterial small subunit ribosomal RNA
Source: RNAcentral